CGUAGAGCUCACACUAGAUGGUCAGUGGCAGCUGGUACGGCCUCCUUCCCUCUCUGACAAGCUUGUGGCUUCCCAGGGAUUCUUCAUUCGUGGGACUAUGUCUGCUGUGGCAGGUUCUCAGGUGUGUGGGACUAUGUCUGCUGUGGCAGGUUCUCAGGUGUGUGGGACUAUGUCUGCUGUGGCAGGUUCUCAGGCGGUACUAGGAUGUUGGAAUGUUGGCCCGUGAAACUACGUGAGGCUUUUCUCCCCCCUUCCUGUGUUAAUGUCACAUAUGCCAUGUGACAUUACCCUUCUCUUCUGGGUUCUAUGGCCCAGCUGCAGUGGGAGAUAGCCCCUGC
Long non-coding RNA from Mastomys coucha (southern multimammate mouse), 338 nucleotides. RefSeq lists it as uncharacterized. The record is from RefSeq and is a predicted model, not a curated record. The transcript is spliced from 2 exons. Lineage: Eukaryota; Metazoa; Chordata; Mammalia; Rodentia; Muridae.